AAGACGAUGUUAACUUUAUUUUAAAACAUUCAUUGCUGGUUUUAUAAUGAUCUGGAUUGUUGUGAUAUUAAUGUGAUGUUUUGUUGUCCCUGGUCGUGUAAAGAGACGUCUCUGUUCUGUCUUUUAGUCUGAAAGGGGGGGACGUACACUUGCUGCUGCUUACACUCGCCUCGUACACAAACACUCGCACGUUACACACACACACACACACACUCGUUCCCGAACACUUGUACACGCACGCAUACACACGUAUCCGGAGCACAAUUACAUUCCUGAAGAACGAAGUUUUCUCUUCAUUUUUUAAACAUUUUUCUCUCUAAAUGAAGACUCGACGUUUUAUUUUUAAUUUUUUUUGCUCAUCCAUGACCUUUCACCCCCUUAGGACACUAAUUUAAAAACAAUACCUGUUAUCAAUCUUGAUUUCAAACUUAUUGAAGCCAUGUAAACAACUUUUAACAUUUUAAACUUGCCAAAUCCUCUCUACUGCACCAUGCUUUGUCACCACACUGUGUUUUUGAAGAGAUUUACUUAAUAUAUAUAUAUAUUAUCAUUUAGCAGAUGUAAUUUAUCCUCCAAUAUAUUUAUUGUUUUAUCCUCAAAUUAUAUUGUUGCUGAAGUAAGACGGAGAUCUACAGUGUAGUAUGAACCACUGACCUGCUUCUCUCUCUCUCUCUCUCUCUCUCUCUCUCUCUCUCUCUCGUUAAAUCAGAACACAACAUUACUACAUUUUAACGGUGUUAAAGGCUGUAUGACAGUGAGCUAUUAAAAUUAUUCUGUUUUGAUGAUUGGGUAGCUGGAAUGUGGAGUAUGAAUGUUUUUUUACAUUUUUUUUUAAUUAAUUUUUUUUAUCAAUAAAACUUGGCAAACGUCUCGUAGACCCCUGACCAUUUGUGUGUACUACUCAUGUAUUUGUGUGUACUACUCAUGUAUUCUUGAAGGAAAAUAUCUGUUUUUAUUCCCCCCCCCCAGUGUAUUUACACUUCCUGUCCUUUUUUAGUAAAGUAUUUUGUUGUGAUAAAUAAGUUGCAAAAGCAAAAUGUGUAUUCAGACAGACCUGAGACUAUCUGAGCAGACUGACCAGGUUAGAUGCAGACUGACCGGGUUAGAUGCAGACUGACCGGGUUAGAUGCAGACUGACCGGGUUAGAUGCAG
RNAcentral lists this long non-coding RNA (1152 nucleotides) under Salmo salar (Atlantic salmon). RNAcentral describes it as "lncRNA (ENSSSAG00000120384.1)". Lineage: Eukaryota; Metazoa; Chordata; Actinopteri; Salmoniformes; Salmonidae. The record is from RNAcentral.